RNAcentral lists this ribosomal RNA (486 nucleotides) under uncultured bacterium. RNAcentral describes it as "bacterial SSU rRNA". It matches the Rfam family "Bacterial small subunit ribosomal RNA", at positions 19 to 518 of the family's 1533-position model. The record is from RNAcentral.
UGGCGUCAGGACGAACGCUGGCGGCAUGCCUAACACAUGCAAGUCGAACGGAGCUUAAGAGGCUUGCCUUUAAGCUUAGUGGCGGACGGGUGAGUAACGCGUGAGCAACCUGCCUCUCAGUGGGGAAUAAUGUACUGAAAAGGACACUAAUACCGCAUGAUGUAUUUGAGUCGCAUGAUUUGAAUACCAAAGAUUUAUCGCUGAGAGAUGGGCUCGCGUCCGAUUAGUUUGUUGGUGAGGUAACGGCUCACCAAGGCGACGAUCGGUAGCCGGACUGAGAGGUUGAACGGCCACAUUGGGACUGAGACACGGCCCAGACUCCUACGGGAGGCAGCAGUGGGGGAUAUUGCGCAAUGGGGGAAACCCUGAACCGCAGCAAUGCCGCGUGGAGGAUUGAAGGUCUUCGGAUUGUAAACUCCUUUUGUCAGGGAAGAUAAUGACGGUACCUGACGAAUAAGCUCCGGCUAACUACGUGCCAGCCGCCGC